RNAcentral lists this ribosomal RNA (387 nucleotides) under Streptococcus sp. oral taxon C08. RNAcentral describes it as "bacterial SSU rRNA". It matches the Rfam family "Bacterial small subunit ribosomal RNA", at positions 116 to 493 of the family's 1533-position model. Lineage: Bacteria; Bacillati; Bacillota; Bacilli; Lactobacillales; Streptococcaceae. The record is from RNAcentral.
CGUAGGUUACCUCCUGGUAGCGGGGGAUAACUAUUGGAAACGAUAGCUAAUCCCGCAUAAGAGUAGAUGUCGCAUGACAUUUGCUUAAAAGGUGCAAUUGCAUCACUACCAGAUGGACCUGCGUUGUAUUAGCUAGUUGUGAGGUAACGGCUCACCAAGGCAACGAUACAUAGCCGACCUGAGAGGGUGAUCGGCCACACUGGGACUGAGACACGGCCCAGACUUCCUACGGGAGGCAGCAGUAGGGAAUCUUCGGCAAUGGACGGAAGUCUGACCGAGCAACGCCGCGUGAGUGAAGAAGGUUUUCGGAUCGUAAAGCUCUGUUGUAAGAGAAGAACGAGUGUGAGAGUGGAAAGUUCACACUGUGACGUAUCUACCAGAAAGGAC